RNAcentral lists this ribosomal RNA (503 nucleotides) under uncultured bacterium. Its description in RNAcentral is "partial 16S ribosomal RNA". It matches the Rfam family "Bacterial small subunit ribosomal RNA", at positions 29 to 507 of the family's 1533-position model. The record is from RNAcentral.
AACGAACGCUGGCGGCGUGCCUAACACAUGCCAGUCGAACGAGAAAGGGGCUUCGGCUCCGAGUAAAGUGGCGCACGGGUGAGUAACACGUGGGUAACCUGCCUCUAAGAUUGGGAUAACUCGUCGAAAGAUGAGCUAAUACCGAAUAAGACCACAGUUCCCGCGGGAACAGGGGUCAAAGGUAGCCUCUGCUUGCAAGCUAUCACUUAGAGAUGGGCCUGCGCACCAUUAGCUAGUUGGUAGGGUAACGGCCUACCAAGGCAAAGAUGGUUAGCUGGUCUGAGAGGAUGAUCAGCCACACUGGAACUGAGACACGGUCCAGACUCCUACGGGAGGCAGCAGUGGGGAAUAUUGCGCAAUGGGCGAAAGCUUGACGCAGCAACGCCGCGGGAGUGAUGAAGGCCUUCGGGUCGUAAAGCUCUGUCGGGAGGAACGAAUGCUCCUGAGGUUAACAGCCUCGGGAGGUGACGGUACCUUCAAAGGAAGCACCGGCUAACUCUGUG